UACGGAGGAUGCGAGCGUUAUCCGGAUUCAUUGGGUUUAAAGGGUGCGUAGGCUGUGCGUCAAGUCAGGGGUGAAAGACCGUCGCUCAACGUCGGGGCCGCCCUUGAUACUGCCGCGCUGGGGUACGGGUGCCGCCGGAGGAAUGAGUGGUGUAGCGGUGAAAUGCAUAGAUAUCACUCAGAACACCGAUUGCGAAGGCAUCUGGCGAACCCGUCACCGACGCUGAGGCACGAAAGCGUGGGGAUAGAAC
This 250-nucleotide ribosomal RNA is filed under the name uncultured prokaryote. Its description in RNAcentral is "partial 16S ribosomal RNA". It matches the Rfam family "Bacterial small subunit ribosomal RNA", at positions 524 to 773 of the family's 1533-position model. The record is from RNAcentral.